This 170-nucleotide long non-coding RNA is filed under the name Monodelphis domestica (gray short-tailed opossum). RNAcentral's name for it is "lncRNA (ENSMODG00000039220.1)". Lineage: Eukaryota; Metazoa; Chordata; Mammalia; Didelphimorphia; Didelphidae. The record is from RNAcentral.
UUCUAGACCUCUUAAGAGAUGGAAGAAAGGAGUAUAUGGAAUAUCUUAUCUUAGGAACAGAGGAUCAAUUUUGUGGAUUCAAGAAUGUAUGAAGGAGAAGCAUUUUAAAUACUCUAGACUGAAAAGGUGAAGAAACUGAUCCAUAGAGAGAAACAACUCAUUUCCCAUAA